Molecule: long non-coding RNA, 3119 nt
Organism: Pan troglodytes (chimpanzee)
Lineage: Eukaryota; Metazoa; Chordata; Mammalia; Primates; Hominidae
Source: Ensembl
GUUGGUUUCUGUUGAACUCAUCAAAUCAGAAAGUUGUGCAGGUCAAGAAGCGAUCUAUAUAAAAUGCAAAUGGUACAUAUGAGAUAAAGCCUAAGCACGAAAGCUGCAUAAAUUGGUAGCCCAAACCUCAGUGUUACCCCCUACAUUUCAUUACUGCCCUCCUCUCUCUCAGGUUACACCUGUGGCCACAUGGAGGAGUCCUAAAUGACCAACUGAAGGAGAAGCAAAAAACCGAAGCAUGGCUUAUAAUGGGCCUGCUCAGUGUUUAGGCGCCAGCCAAAAAUGGGCAGCAGCUACCUUGCAGCCACACUCCAGGGUGAACUUGCAAGACUUCAACAAAUGAUUUUAAUCUACUGGAUAUGCCCAUAGACUUUGCAGGAAUAACAGCUGGUUCUGGAAACUGUUGGAGAUGUGACAUAAAGAAAGAGAAACAAAUACAUGGGCUCGUAGAGGAGGAUGUGAGGAACCCAUCCUAUGCAGAAAGGUCCUUCUUGAAGAUAACCCUGGAUUUGCUCUGCCAUAUUCCAAAGAACUUGCUCCGAAGUCACCUCUUUAUAUUGUCCUCCCUGUUCUCCUCCAGGCCUCUGAUUCUUUGAUGUAGCUCAUUCUCAAACCAAAGAUCAUCAAGCCUCUUAGAGCAUACUCUUUAAUCCAGUUUUAUCUAGAAUGGGAUGGAGGUGAAUGAUUCUGAGCCUCCACCCAGGAAUCAUGACCUGUUAAAGUGUUUUCUUCCACAGGAAUCACAGUUUGCUUUCCAGAAGAUCCCCAGCCAGCUCCCAUAGUCAUCAGUUCACUCCAGUGAAGUUCAAGAUUAAGUGCUAAGAGUAGAAUCCCCUAGGCUCACCCCUGUAAUCCAACAACUUUGAGACGCCAAGGCGGGUGGAUCACUUGAGGUCAAGAGUUUGAGACUAGCCUGGCUUAUGUGGCGAAACCACAUCUCUACUAAAAAUGCAAAAAUUAGCCAGGUAUGGUGGUGCGUGCCUGUAAUCUCAGCUACUUGGGAGGCUGAGACAGUAGAAUUGCUUGAACCCUGGAGGCAGAGGCUGAGAUUGUGCCACUGCACUCCAGCCUGGGCAAAAGAGUGAGACUGUCUCAGAAAAACAAACAAAACAAAACAAAACAAAAACAGUAGAAUCCACAACAGUUAUCUUAGACCUAAGGAAUAAAAUUUCAUUUCUUCAUCAUGACAUUUAUGGCUUUAAGUACCUAGGAUAAAACAAUGUUCUCAACUCUUUCUUCCUCCUACCUUCCAUAUAAUUCCAUCCACUAUAAUCAAAUUUAUCUAAUGUCUGCUUAUUUGCUUACUCCUGCCUAAUGCCUGUAAUCAUGCUAUUCUUCCAUUUAAAAGUGAGAAACAAAUACAAUGAAGUACACAAAUAAACUACUCAAAUUUUCUUAUUUAUAUAUAAACCCAUUUACCCAAACCAAGGUCCAGAACAUUCUCAGCACUGCAUAUGGCACCACCUUUUCUGCCUUUCCUGUUACCACCUUCCCCAGAGAUAAUUACUUUUCUCAUGGAUAUUAAUAUAGCUAGUUUUUUUAUAGAAUAGUUUGACUUAAUUGUCUAAGAAGAAUGAGACAAUGAAAGGAAAGGACCAUAUUGAAAGGAAAGCAUAAAUUAGUUUUUUCUGACUGGAAACCUUUUUCAGUAGCCACUUCACUAUAUAACAAGACCCAUGAGCUGAGCCUGGGUUACCAUUUAGCUAUUAUAAUGUCCCAAAUUAAUAAAAACCGAAUUUAAAAUUUCACUGCUGCAGUCAUCUCUUCAUUAUUUUCCCAGUAGUAUCUGUGAAAUAGGUUGACCAACAUGUGACCCAAGAAUGAGAAGUUCCACACUGACUUUUUAAGAAACUAUCUUAUAAAAUGAUUCCCUGUAUUUCAUAUAAAGAAAUGAAGAUAUAAAGUCUGUUUGAAGAGAUUAAAUUUUUAAAUUUUAUAUUUUAAUGGUAUAUUUUUGUGUGCUUUUUAAUGAUGAUACAAGCCUAUAGGAUGCUGUUCUGACUUAUGUAACUCAGAUAGAGAAGUUCCAGAAUGGCAUUCCUGAAUUCUCCCCACAAAAAUAGCCCUCCUUUGAGCCACUGAUCAAGAGACUGAGAGUCUAACUGUUCAACCAGUUAUCAAUCUACUUAACCAUACUAUCACUGAGCUUAGGUUUCUCUGAUUUUUAAGGUUAUCACAUGAAACUUUAUUAAAAUCAAAUUAUUAUGUCCAUGACAUCUCUGACUGACCUAUGUAGUGAUUCACACAAAAAAUAGAAAAGAGAAAUGAGAUCAGUUUGAGAAAACAAUAGUUUUAUCAAAUUUCUACCAAACUUACAUCAUGUCUCCUGACAAUCAACAUAUUCACUGAGGAACAUCUAUCUGUAGGGCACCACACUAAGCAAGAAAUAGAAGACAACUCCAUUCUAAAGCCAAUUGUGAUUGUUAAUAGUGAAGAUACAAGUAUGAAAAUGAUUACCACCUCGAGUCAUGUCAAGACGAAGAUAUAUUUCUCUACAAAAGACUGUUAAGAGAGUAAAAUCUUAGGGCAACAGUGCUGAUGGCCCUUGGCAAGUAAAUAUGAUGCAAGGACAGAAGUUAGCAGUGUGAGAGGUAGAAGAGAGUCAUUUUGGCAAAGGUACCAGGAAGCUUCGGUUAUCCCUAACAACCAAAUAUUUAGAACUGAAAUGUGGCCAAGCUCAUAAAGCCUCUUCUCCUUCUGCCACCAAUUCUAUUGUUCCUGAAGCUGAGAGAGAGAGAGAGAAAGAGAGAGAGAGAGAGAAGGUGAUAGCCAAACAAAUGCUAUCAAAGUCCUGUGAUGAAAUACAAGGAGUUCUAACCCCUAGGGUCACCAGACAUGCCAGAAAAUAAUAUUCCCAAUGUUACAAGUGUUCUUUGCCCUUUGUCCCUUGACUGGGAAAGUAUAUUAGAAAUUAUAGUCAUAUUUUUCCUUUUGGUUGAUAGAAAGAAACUUAGGAGUCAUCCAAUUUCAGUUCAUAUCAAAUCAAUUCCUAUUAGUAGAAAAAUCCAACUCAGCAUUGCAUUUUCCUUGGCUUGAAAAAUGAUAUUCAGAAUUAUCUGGCUGGAAUUAAAGUUCAGCUUCUCUGCUUGUCUCUGUGUUGAGCUGCAGUUAGUCUUGAG